This 524-nucleotide ribosomal RNA is filed under the name uncultured bacterium. Its description in RNAcentral is "bacterial SSU rRNA". It matches the Rfam family "Bacterial small subunit ribosomal RNA", at positions 355 to 896 of the family's 1533-position model. The record is from RNAcentral.
UGGGGAAUAUUGGACAAUGGGGGCAACCCUGAUCCAGCGACGCCGCGUGAGUGAAGAAGUAUCUCGGUACGUAAAGCUCUAUCAGCAGGGAAGAAAAAAGACGGUACCUGACUAAGAAGCCCCGGCUAACUACGUGCCAGCAGCCGCGGUAAUACGUAGGGGGCAAGCGUUAUCCGGAAUUACUGGGUGUAAAGGGAGCGUAGACGGCUAUGCAAGUCUGGAGUGAAAUGCCGGGGCUCAACCCCGGAGCUGCUCUGGAAACUGCGUGGCUUGAGUGUCGGAGGGGCAGGCGGAAUUCCCAGUGUAGCGGUGAAAUGCGUAGAUAUUGGGAGGAACACCGGCGGCGAAGGCGGCCUGCUGGACGACAACUGACGUUGAGGCUCGAAGGCGUGGGUAGCAAACAGGAUUAGAUACCCUGGUAGUCCACGCAGUAAACGAUGAAUACUAGGUGUCGGGGAGUUAAAUUUCCGGUGCCGGCGCAAACGCAAUAAGUAUUCCACCUGGGGAGUACGUUCGCAAGAAUG